CACAUCAAUUCCACCUCUUCCCUCCCUUCCAUACAUUGCCCACCCUUUGGCUCCAUCCAUGUCUUAUUUCACUUCCAUCACCAGGGUCCUUUGUCUCUGACUUUAACUUAUUUCUCAGUGAGUUUUAUAUCUCUUUACCCAUUCCUGUCCCAUCCUUCAAGUAUCUAAAUUCAUCCAUUUCCCCCAGUCCAGGUCUCAACAUGUAUACCUAUCUCCCUCUCUCAGUCACUGUGGCUAACUAUUUCUCUUUGCAUGUGUCUCCUCACUUUUGCUUUUCCUCCCUCCUUGUGCCUACACUGCAUCCUUCCCACAUUCAUGCAUUGCUUCUCAUUGAGAUUUGAUUCAUUC
Molecule: long non-coding RNA, 348 nt
Filed under: Sarcophilus harrisii (Tasmanian devil)
Lineage: Eukaryota; Metazoa; Chordata; Mammalia; Dasyuromorphia; Dasyuridae
Description: lncRNA (ENSSHAG00000026678.1)
Source: RNAcentral